This is an RNA transcript of Phoenix dactylifera (date palm), 1530 nucleotides long. It is a transcript of the gene named FCS-Like Zinc finger 14-like, with no coding region annotated. NCBI's taxonomy places the organism in Eukaryota, Viridiplantae, Streptophyta, Magnoliopsida, Arecales, Arecaceae. The record is from RefSeq and is a predicted model, not a curated record.
AGUUCGGCAGCUCCGGGGGGGCGGUGUUCUAUAUUCUCUCCAACCCCAACGAUUAAACGAUAUGGAGAGGAGAGCAGCGACGUGGCCCUUGAGAAGCCUCUCUUCUCCUUCCUCUACUCUCCCUCUCCGUUUCUCCUCGCCUCCUUACCAAUCUUAACGGUAGAACCACCAAAAGAGGCCAAAAUCCUAUAGUUUUCUGCCAUAACUCUGGGAUCUUUUCCGACCGAUUCUGCCGCGAAGUUGGGAUUUUCCCGCUAAAAUCAACGGAUUCUGAUCUAACGCUGUGAUAUUUCAGCUGAAAUUGCGAUCCCCCCCCCCUCUCUAAAAAGAGAUUUAUUCUUAUCCGAAGUCGUGAUUUUUUAUUUUCCCCCGCUAUUAAAAUCGAUUGCUGCCGAGCAAAAUACUAGCGAUUCAGAGAGACCCACCCGGAAAAUCCCUCAAAGAGCGGGGCCAUGGCCGAUUCUUCGGAGCGGAAGCGCUCUCUAAAGCUCUCCCUCUUCGUGGGGCUGACCGAGUCCUCCGCGAGCGAGCUCAACGCCGCUCGAUCACCGAGGUGCUUCGACGGCGGGGCCGUCGGUCUCGGGAUCGUGGCGGCGAUGAGCAACGACGUCGGCGACGUGAGUCCUGCGAGGGUGGCGGCCCCGGCCCUGUCCCGAUCCGACCCGAUCCCGAUCGUCCUGGGGAGGCCCGCAGCCAAGCCGAGGGGCCCCGCCGCGAGGGGGGAGGAGGACAAGGAGGACGUGCAGCUAUCGGAGUGCUACACGUGUGUGAUCUCGCACGUGCGUGGCAACCCUGUGACGAAGAGGGUAUACUUCGACGAUGGCUCCGAUGGCAUAGACGGAGGCAACCCUGUGACGAGGAUGAGUUCGGGGGUGUUUUUUGAGUCGGCGGCCCCGCCUCCGUAGGCGAAGGAGUUCUUGAGCCGCUGCUUUUUGUGCCAGAAGGAGCUUCGUGGGCUGGAUGUUUUCAUGUACAGAGGAGAGAGAGGCUUCUGCAGUGUGGAAUGCAGACGCCAGCAAAUUAGAAGCGAUGAGCACGGGGCAAAAUGUGGGCCUGAAGAGUCACCUUGUUCGGCUCCUUAAUUUUCUUUGCGCGCCUCGUGAUGCAGCGGCUUAACUGUAUUACGGUUAAUCUCCCUUUGGUUUGCUGGAGGGCCGAUGCAGUAUCAAGCAUCAGCCCGAGCUUUGAGGGCCAGCAGAUCGAGUUUAAACUGGGAUGAUAUCACCAACUUUGAUCUGCAUUUCCUAUGUGAGGACUUAGGCACGAUCCCAGAUGCUAUUGCUGUCGCUGUAUGGCCAAAUGCUUAUCAGGUUCGGUUGGCUGUUAAGUUCUUUGGUCCGUACAAUCUAAUGCCGGAGUCCUCUUCACCUCUCAGUGAUGACCGAGAUGAACCUGGUGACUCGGACUCGGACUUGAGAACCAUACCAAGAAUGUAGGGGCAAGCCCUCCAAUUCCCGUUGUCUCUCCCCGCAGCAGGGUUUCCGUGAAUAUCUGUUGUUCCAUCUUUUGUGAAUUUGUCUUCGGCUUUCU